UCUGCACUGUGGCUGUCU
Molecule: non-coding RNA, 18 nt
Filed under: Mus musculus (house mouse)
Lineage: Eukaryota; Metazoa; Chordata; Mammalia; Rodentia; Muridae
Source: RNAcentral